GCCAAACACUGCUCUCGCGUUUAACGAAUGCCAGUCGACCGAAAGGGCCCUUCCUCUGCGGGAUGCACGAGUGGCGAGCGGGUGCGUAGCACGAAAGUAAUCCCCCAAUGAAUUCGGGAUGACUUCUGGAGACUGGGGCUACUACCGAAUAGGGGGUUCUGAUGCCUGUGGGGGGUUGGAAUGUUUCGGCGUUUUGGGAUGGAGUCGCGGCUCAUCCGCUUGCUGGUGGGGUAGUGGCUUACCAAGGCUUUGCCGGGUAGCCGGCAUGAGAGGGUGACCGGCCAAAUUGGGACGGAGAUACGGCACAGACUCCUACGGGGGGCAGCAGUGGGGAAUAUUGCACAACGGGCGGAAGCCUGAUGCAGCAACGCCGCGUGCGGGAUGACGGUCUUCGGGUUGAAAACCGCUUUCGCCUGUGACGAAGCGUAAGGGACGGUAAUGGGUAAAGAAGCACCGGCUAACUACGUG
Molecule: ribosomal RNA, 468 nt
Filed under: uncultured bacterium
Lineage: Bacteria
Description: partial 16S ribosomal RNA
Rfam family: Bacterial small subunit ribosomal RNA
Source: RNAcentral